AGCUUGCUCCUGAAUUCAGCGGCGGACGGGUGAGUAAUGCCUAGGAAUCUGCCUGGUAGUGGGGGACAACGUUUCGAAAGGAACGCUAAUACCGCAUACGUCCUACGGGAGAAAGCAGGGGACCUUCGGGCCUUGCGCUAUCAGAUGAGCCUAGGUCGGAUUAGCUAGUUGGUGAGGUAAUGGCUCACCCAGGCGACGAUCCGUAACUGGUCUGAGAGGAAGAUCAGUCACACUGGAACUGAGACACGGUCCAGACUCCUACGGGAGGCAGCAGUGGGGAAUAUUGGACAAUGGGCGAAAGCCUGAUCCAGCCAUGCCGCGUGUGUGAAGAAGGUCUUCGGAUUGUAAAGCACUUUAAGUUGGGAGGAAGGGCAUUAACCUAAUACGUUAGUGUUUUGACGUUACCGACAGAAUAAGCACCGGCUAACUCUGUGCCAGCAGCCGCGGUAAUACAGAGGGUGCAAGCGUUAAUCGGAAUUACUGGGCGUAAAGCGCGCGUAGGUGGUUUGUUAAGUUGGAUGUGAAAUCCCCGGGCUCAACCUGGGAACUGCAUUCAAAACUGACAAGCUAGAGUAUGGUAGAGGGUGGUGGAAUUUCCUGUGUAGCGGUGAAAUGCGUAGAUAUAGGAAGGAACACCAGUGGCGAAGGCGACCACCUGGACUGAUACUGACACUGAGGUGCGAAGCGUGGGGAGCAACAAGA
RNAcentral lists this ribosomal RNA (702 nucleotides) under Pseudomonas sp. Its description in RNAcentral is "bacterial SSU rRNA". It matches the Rfam family "Bacterial small subunit ribosomal RNA", at positions 77 to 777 of the family's 1533-position model. The record is from RNAcentral. Lineage: Bacteria; Pseudomonadati; Pseudomonadota; Gammaproteobacteria; Pseudomonadales; Pseudomonadaceae.